This is a non-coding RNA of Ochrobactrum sp. P6BS-III, 443 nucleotides long. The record is from Rfam. Lineage: Bacteria; Pseudomonadati; Pseudomonadota; Alphaproteobacteria; Hyphomicrobiales; Brucellaceae.
UCAGUCGGUCGGGCAGCCGCACUUGUCAUAUGCCGAAAGGCGGCAGGUGAGGAAAGUCCGGGCUCCAUGGAAAGACGGUGCCGGGUAACGCCCGGCGGGGGCGACCCCAGGGAUAGUGCCACAGAAAGUAAACCGCCUCGUCUUCCGUAUCGUUGUUCAGACGCUUUGAGCGAAACGCAACGACAGGGAUGACGAGGUAAGGGUGAAAGGGUGGGGUAAGAGCCCACCGCGUCUGCAGCAAUGGAGACGGCACGGUAAACCCCACCGGGAGCAAGACCGAAUAGGGACGGCGCGCCGGUUCGCAAGGACCGGCAAUCGGUUUCCGGAUCAGUCGUCCGGGUGGGUUGCAAGAGGCGGGUGGCGACAUCCGUCCCAGAUGAAUGGCUGCCACGUCGGGCGAAAGCCCGGCCAUACAGAACCCGGCUUACAGACCGGCUGACACU